AACGAACGCUGGCGGCAUGCCUAACACAUGCAAGUCGAACGAGUCCUUCGGGUCUAGUGGCGCACGGGUGCGUAACGCGUGGGAACCUGCCCUUAGGUUCGGAAUAACUCCCCGAAAGGGGUGCUAAUACCGGAUAAUGUCUUCGGACCAAAGAUUUAUCGCCUUUGGAUGGGCCCGCGUUGGAUUAGCUAGUUGGUAGGGUAAAAGCCUGCCAAGGCGACGAUCCAUAGCUGGUCUGAGAGGAUGAUCAGCCACACUGGGACUGAGACACGGCCCAGACUCCUACGGGAGGCAGCAGUGGGGAAUAUUGGACAAUGGGCGAAAGCCUGAUCCAGCAAUGCCGCGUGAGUGAUGAAGGCCUUAGGGUUGUAAAGCUCUUUUACCCGGGAUGAUAAUGACAGUACCGGGAGAAUAAGCUCCGGCUAACUCCGUG
This 433-nucleotide ribosomal RNA is filed under the name uncultured bacterium. RNAcentral's name for it is "partial 16S ribosomal RNA". It matches the Rfam family "Bacterial small subunit ribosomal RNA", at positions 29 to 507 of the family's 1533-position model. The record is from RNAcentral.